This 326-nucleotide unclassified non-coding RNA is filed under the name fungal sp. RNAcentral describes it as "partial internal transcribed spacer region". The stretch from base 1 to 46 matches the Rfam family "Eukaryotic small subunit ribosomal RNA", at positions 1786 to 1831 of the family's 1831-position model. The record is from RNAcentral. Lineage: Eukaryota; Fungi.
AAGUCGUAACAAGGUUUCCGUAGGUGAACCUGCGGAAGGAUCAUAACCCCCCUGUGAACCUUUAGUGUGCUCGUACGCUUUGUCAGAGCGUGGCAAUCCCUAGUAAAUCAUCGCCGAACAGUUUUCGAUUUAGGGACUUCCACAAAGAGUGUGCUGCAAGUGGCAUUCCCAAGCAGUUUGUGUCUGAAAGUGUCACUGGCUGUGCAAGGAUGGCGCAGUCACGAUCGUUGGAGCGGGCUCACGCCCCUUAAUCACAACUUAAUGCAUGCGCCUGCGCUUAAUUGUACGGCCAUAAAACUCGAACAACUGGAAAUAUCUUGGUUCUC